UGCCUACGGGGCGCAGCAGUGAGGAAUAUUGGUCAAUGGGAGAGAUCCUGAACCAGCCAAGCCGCGUGAGGGAAGACGGCCCUAUGGGUUGUAAACCUCUUUUGUCGGAGAACAAAACCCGGGACGUGUCCCGGACUGCGUGUAUCCGAAGAAAAAGCAUCGGCUAACUCCGUGCCAGCAGCCGCGGUAAUACGGAGGAUGCGAGCGUUAUCCGGAUUUAUUGGGCGUAAAGCGAGUGCAGGCGGGUCACUAUGUCUCA
Molecule: ribosomal RNA, 259 nt
Filed under: uncultured bacterium
Lineage: Bacteria
Description: partial 16S ribosomal RNA
Rfam family: Bacterial small subunit ribosomal RNA
Source: RNAcentral